This 932-nucleotide long non-coding RNA is filed under the name Salvia miltiorrhiza (redroot sage). Its description in RNAcentral is "long non-coding RNA (SMIL_LNC008044)". The record is from RNAcentral. Lineage: Eukaryota; Viridiplantae; Streptophyta; Magnoliopsida; Lamiales; Lamiaceae.
GCUCUCUCUCUCUCUCUUUUGUAUAUAUCUCUCUCUCUCUCCACCACGCAAACUCUCUCUCUCCUCCUCUGCAUCCUUUUCCUCCGCCAACCCUGCCUUCCUCGACGCCGUCGCCGCCUGUACAGUAUUUCCUCCUUAACCUCCACCCACCCAGCUCCUCCUUCCUCAUCUUGGCUGAACAUCCAACAACCAAAAUAGACACCGCCACCCACCUCGUCUGGUUUUCACCAUACGCGAGCCUCACCACUCUCUCUUCAUCUGAAUCGACGACAAUUUUAACCGUUUUCUGUUGCGGUGCGAAAUUUUCGGUGGUUCUGAUUUUGGAAGAGGACAGGACAGACAGCUAGAGAUCUAUGUUUAGUGAGAGUUUAGUGAGAGAAAAUGAGUUUGCAAAUUUGAAAGAAGAUAAACAAGAGAGAAAAAUGUUGUGGGCUUCAAAGAAUUUGAAAUUAAAGUCACCGAUGGAUUCAAAUUUACAUACAAGAAACAAAAUAUGUACUAUCACUUCAAGUAAUCUCCACAAACACUGCCGGAGAAGAUGAAAACCAGCUACUGGAGAUGGUGAACACAUUCAAGAUUUUCAAAAUCAAGAGCAAGUGCAGGAGAAGAUUAAAAUUCAGUAGCAGCGAAAUCUGUAAUUCAAUUUAUUUCAACCGAAAAAAAAGGUACAGAUCGACGUUUGACGUGUCUAAAUGUGAAUGGUGUUCCAAAUUAUUUUUAUUUUUUAUUUUCAGAGGGUGUUCGGUGUUCCCAAAAUAUGGAAAUUAAAGACAAAACUGCUUUUGGUUUUGGGAAAAGGUGGUAUCAAAGAGAAGACACGUGUAUGAAUCUCAAGGAGGAGGCGUAGUACGCAUGGGUGUAGCAUAGACUCUUCCGCCCAUGCCUCAAGUUUUCUUUUGUCGGUGGUUAAUGUUAUACUCUAUUCGUCCCCA